CCUACGGGGGGCUGCAGUGGGGAAUAUUGCACAAUGGGCGCAAGCCUGAUGCAGCCAUGCCGCGUGUGUGAAGAAGGCCUUCGGGUUGUAAAGCACUUUCAGCGGGGAGGAAGGCGGUGAGGUUAAUAACCUCAUCGAUUGACGUUACCCGCAGAAGAAGCACCGGCUAACUCCGUGCCAGCAGCCGCGGUAAUACGGAGGGUGCAAGCGUUAAUCGGAAUUACUGGGCGUAAAGCGCGCGCAGGCGGUCUGUCAAGUCGGAUGUGAAAUCCCCGGGCUCAACCUGGGAACUGCAUUCGAGACUGGCAGGCUAGAGUCUUGUAGAGGGGGGUAGAAUUCCAGGUGUAGCGGUGAAAUGCGUAGAGAUCUGGAGGAAUACCGAGGGCGAAGGCGGCCCCCUGGACAAGGACUGACGCUCAGGUGCGAAAGCGUGGGGAGCAAACAGGAUUAGAUACCCUAGUAGUC
RNAcentral lists this ribosomal RNA (465 nucleotides) under uncultured Klebsiella sp. Its description in RNAcentral is "bacterial SSU rRNA". It matches the Rfam family "Bacterial small subunit ribosomal RNA", at positions 338 to 795 of the family's 1533-position model. The record is from RNAcentral. Lineage: Bacteria; Pseudomonadati; Pseudomonadota; Gammaproteobacteria; Enterobacterales; Enterobacteriaceae.